This 2352-nucleotide ribosomal RNA is filed under the name Triticum aestivum (bread wheat). RNAcentral's name for it is "partial small subunit ribosomal RNA". The record is from RNAcentral. Lineage: Eukaryota; Viridiplantae; Streptophyta; Magnoliopsida; Poales; Poaceae.
AUGCUUAUGGAAAAUGCCGGAUCACCACCGUGUGCGCCCCAGCACGGCGCUCCGGCGUGCUGCGUGGCCGUGCUUCGGCGCUCCGGCGAGGCACUCGUGUGGCAGUAUACACGCACACACACAAAAAAAGGGAAAAGAAAGACUCCCCCCGCGCGCGCGGUCACCCGCGGAACACCAAUGCCAGCGGCGGCGCUGCCCCGUGGCGUCCAGGCGGUGCUGGUGACCUCCGGCCAACUCCGCAACCUCGACCCGCAGCUCCAGGUGCCCCCGCUCCUCCUCGCCAACACCCUCAUCGCCGCCUUCUCCCGCGCCGCGCUCCCUCGCCUCGCCUUCCCGCUCCUCCGCCACCUCCUGCGCCGCGCCCGCCCCCUCCGCCCCGACGCCUUCACCUUCCCGCCGCUCAUCCGCGCGGCCCCGGCCCACGCCUCCGCGGCGCAGCUCCACGCCUGUGCGCUCCGGCUCGGCCUCCUCCGCCCGUGCGUCUUCGCGUCGGGCUCCCUCGUGCACGCCUACCUCCGCUUCGGCUGCGUGGAGGAGGCCUACGGGGUGUUCGACGAAAUGCCCGGGCGGGACCUGCCCGCCUGGAACGCGAUGCUGUCCGGGCUGUGCCGCAACGCCUGCGGCGCCGAGGCCGUGCGCCUGCUCGGGCGGAUGGCGGGGGAGGGCGUCGCCGGCGACUCGGUGACGGUCUCGAGCGUGCUGCCCAUGUGCGCGCUGCUCGGGGACUGGGUGCUUGCGCUGGUCAUGCACGUGUACGCGGUGAAGCACGGGCUGGACAGGGAGCUCUUCGUGUGCAAUGCGAUGAUCGAUGUGUAUGGAAAGCUCGGGAUGCUGGAGGAGGCUCGUCGGGUGUUUGAUGGAAUGGAGCGCCGCGAUCUGGUGACGUGGAACUCGAUCAUCUCAGGGUAUGAGCAGGGUGGGCAGGCCGCCGCUGCGGUCAAGAUGUUUCAUGGUAUGAGGGACAGUGGGGUUUCCCCUGACGUGCUGACGCUUGUGAGUCUGGCAUCUGCUAUCGCACAGUGUGGAGAUGACCGCGGUGGGAAGUCAGUGCACUGCUAUGUGACGCGGCGGGGGUGGGAUGUGGGUGACAUAAUUGCAGGGAAUGCUAUGGUUGAUAUGUACGCGAAGCUAUCAAAGAUUGAGGCUGCCCAGAGGAUGUUUGAGAUCAUGCCAGUUCGAGAUGCCGUGUCUUGGAACACUUUGAUCACGGGGUAUAUGCAGAAUGGACUUGCAAACGAGGCAAUCGAGGCGUAUGGUUGUAUGCAGAAGCAUGAGGGUCUGAAGCCUAUUCAAGGGACAAUUGUCAGUGUUUUGCCUGCAUACUCACAACUUGGUGCCUUGCAGCAGGGCAUGCGGAUGCAUGCUCUGUCUGUUAAGACUGGAUUCAAUCUGGAUGUGUAUCUGGCGGACGCAAUGCUUUUCUUUGAAAAAAUGCCUAAAAGGAGUAGGAGUACAGGUCCCUGGAAUGCCAUCAUGGCUGGCCUUGGAGUUCAUGGGCAUGCCGCAGAGGCUCUCAGUGUCUUCUCACGAAUGCAGCAGGAAGGAGUUAAUCCUGAUCAUGUCACAUUUGUUUCACUGUUGGCUGCCUGUAGUCAUGCUGGCUUAGUUGACCAAGGCCGGAGUUUCUUUGAUAUGAUGCGUAUAACAUACGGCAUUAUCCCCAUUGCAAAACAUUAUGCGUGCAUGGUUGACAUGCUUGGCAGAGUUGGUCAGCUACAGGAAGCUUUUGAUUUUAUACAUAACAUGCCAAUUAAACCUGAUUCUGCUGUUUGGGGCGCUCUGCUUGGUGCUUGCAGGAUUCAUGGGAAUGUUGAAAUGGGCAAAGUGGUUUCGCAAAACCUGUUUGAACUUGAUCCAGAGAAUGUUGGAUAUUAUGUUCUAAUGUCGAACAUGUAUGCGAAGGUUGGGAAAUGGGAUGGAGUUGACGAAGUGCGGUCUUUGGUCAGACACCAAAAUUUAGGUGAAAAGAUCAGUGAAUGUGUUUACAGUGGCAACCAGACAGAACCCCACCCUCAACACGAAGAGAUCCAGGCAGAGCUGCAGAAUCUGUUGGCCAAAAUGAGAAGUAUAGGUUAUGUUCCUGACUACAGUUUUGUCCUACAGGAUGUAGAGGAGGAUGAAAAGCAACACAUCUUGAAUAAUCACAGUGAGAGAUUAGCUAUUGCCUUUGGCAUCAUAAAUACUCCUCCAAGAACUCCGCUCCAUAUAUACAAGAAUUUGCGUGUGUGUGGGGAUUGCCACAAUGCCACCAAAUAUAUAUCGAAAAUAACUGAGAGAGAGAUCAUUGUCCGGGAUUCAAAUCGGUUCCACCACUUUAAACAUGGUCAUUGUUCUUGUGGGGAUUUUUGGUAA